This is an RNA transcript of Sardina pilchardus (European sardine), 1615 nucleotides long. It is a transcript of the gene named C-X-C motif chemokine 9-like, with no coding region annotated. The transcript is spliced from 7 exons. Lineage: Eukaryota; Metazoa; Chordata; Actinopteri; Clupeiformes; Clupeidae. The record is from RefSeq and is a predicted model, not a curated record.
GUUCAUUAGAGAGCACAAGAUGUGUGGACUGCUUGAGGGUUGCAACAGUGUUCUUUCUAACAUUUCUGCUCAGAAUGUUGACUGUGCAAGCUCUCACCCUUGUGAUAUAUUUUGCAAGAGAGUAGUUUUGGGACAAUUUACUUAGAUCUUAUUUGAUCCUAUUUGAUUAUUUCUCUUCCCAGGCAGGUUUUGAGGUAGGACCUCCCAGCAUUCACGACGCGACGACGGUGCUGGAAGGUGGUGUGUAUUCUCGAGACUCCUCUCAUUCCCACGAUGUCUUCAUAUCCAGCUGCCCUCCUUCUGACUCUUCUGGUGGCCAUGCUGCCUGCCCAACACCUACUUGUAUCAGGUUAUGAGGUUGAAGAUGAUCAGAUUAGACCGCCAGAUGGCUAUGAUGCCAGGUCUACUAGAAGAUUAGGUAGUAAACAUACUGUAAAUUCUUCAUGAACACUGAGUGCCUUCACUUUGCCAAUGUCCAAUGCAAGCACAAAGUGUAAGCCGGCGUAAAAUAAAGGACUUCAACAUUGAGCUGUGGAAACCUUCUUGUGGGACUGAAAUAAUACUGACCCUAGAGGACAAUGACAGGACAAAACACGUUUGUCUCAGUCCUGAUGGUUCACAAGGUAAAAGGCUACUCCGGUGUUGGGAUAGAAUUAAUCAAGACCAAAAUCAUAAGAAGAGAUGCAUAAGACGAAGAAAAGGCCCAUUAAGGCGAUCACCGUCUUGAUUCGUUCAAUUCCUAUAUGAAGCAAGAAAUUGAAGCAACUGACAGAUAUUUACAUCAAACAUUUUAUAUAUUCAUUUAGUCAGUCAUCUUUUUCCAUGCCGUAUCCCUUAUCAUAUGUGACCAUCCAAAGCGAAAUCAGUCAUUUUGCGCACAACGUUAUUUUGAGAAAAUCAACAAUAACAAACUUCCGGGUUAAAAUGUUAAAUUUCACGUUGUCGCAUAAUUCGACUGUAUACAGUCUACAGUUUCAUAUCGUGAACGCAUUUCAUGGAAAAACAUAUGUUUUGACUAUUAAACCCGGCGAGGAUUCAACAAAUUUGAUGUCAUUCCCAUUGUGCACGCGCCGCUUAAAAUGGUGAUUUCUCCUCUUCUGGCAUAUCAUGACAGGAGAACCAUGUCAACUUUUGAUGCGCUUAUCAUAGCGAUAGUUUGUGUAAUACCCUCAAUAUACAUAUCGUUGGAAAGCUUAGUUUAUGGCCGUUCACGUGAGCACAAUAACUUAAUUUAGUAAAUUUUACCGAAACGACUGGUUCCGCUUUACAGGGUCACAUAUUCUCAUGUUAGCCAGUUUCAACCAAGUCACAGCUAAUGUAUUAGACAGAAUUUACCUCACUAGUUACUAUCAUGAGGGCUUUUUAAAUGUGUGAUUAUGCUGGAUUCAAGUUGUCUUGAAUGCAGCCACAAAGGACUCUUCCAUUGACAUGCAUUGUAUUUAAGACAGUGCCACACAUGGUACAAUGCGGUAUUACAAGACAAUCAGUAUAGCACUUGUUCGCUUACAUUUCAACUCUGGUGGAUUAUUAGGCAACACAGUUUUUUAUUUUUUUUAAAACAUUUUUGUGCUUAAAUUAAUAUACUGUAUAACAUUUUCAUCUAUUUAUGAAUAUA